UUGGUGUGCCAUAAGUCAGCCGGUCAGCUUAUUCGUGUCAAUUGCGAUGGUCAAUCUAUCUAUAACUGAAUCAUGAAUUUACAUGUCCUUGAUUUCUUAUUUAUGCUACUCAAUUGUGCAGAUGUACUACAAAAACACUUUCAACCCAAAUUUUAUUGGUGGAAGAAAGGCAUUCGAAGUUGCAGUGCAGCAGACCCAGUCUUCUAGGUUGCUCUACCAGUUUCUAGGCAGAAGGUAUACUUAUUAUGAGAUCUUACUCCAAAUAUGCCCCAUGUUUUUCAUUUGAGAUAUGUAUUCUAAUUUAUGUCAUUGCCAGCCUUUCUUUGCUUUCAACUUUCUUAAUAAUCUUCUAUAGCAUGCUCUGGAGUCUGAGAAGGGAUCAGCCUCUGAAAGAAGUGUUAAGUCUUGGGUUAUUCUUGCUAGACGAGCUAAUGGAGUAGUUACUGAUUCGGUUUGCAAUUGUAUACUGUUUAAUUGAUAAAAUAUUUCCUUAUAUCUUAGUGGGAAUCAAGGUAAGGGCUAAAUUUAGCACCUCACUGUUAUUACUCUAUAAAUGACAAAUAGGGUGUCCGUGCUGCAUCAGAUGUUGAAAGAGUUGUACCCUCUGGAAACAAUGGUGGAUCAAGUUGGGGUAUCUCAUCCCUUUUUGGUGGAGAUGAUAGCCGUAUGACUGUGAAGGAGAAUAUAGCUAGUAAACCACAUACUGAACAACCAGUUCACAGCAAGGAGCAAUCAUUCUCUACGAUCCAUUUGAGAGAGCCACCUCCUAUCUUGAGGCCGUCUGAGAGCAAUUCAGAGACAGAUGUUGUUAAAAUAACAGCAAAUAAGUUGCUUCUGAGAUCAUACUACGACAU
Molecule: long non-coding RNA, 854 nt
Organism: Glycine soja
Lineage: Eukaryota; Viridiplantae; Streptophyta; Magnoliopsida; Fabales; Fabaceae
Exons: 3
Source: RefSeq, a predicted model, not a curated record